GUUGGACUUUACAAAUUGUUAUGAAUGUAUUUUUAUGUUUUGAGGUUAUUGCAUCAGUUGCAUCCCUCUUCUGAAUUGGAUAUCUAGAAAUUAAAGCUGUACUCAUAUCUUUUCUUAAUAAUUUUUGAAAAAUCUUUGGUAUGGAAAACAUUUGUUAUGACAAACAAUUUGAUUCAGUGGUGGCUGUCUUCUGGGUGGAUUAACUAUUAACACUAUAUAGAUGGUUUUCAAAUUUGACAAGCAAUGCUGAUUUCAAUGGAAAGAUGAGCUUAGGAAGAAGGGGUCUUGGUUAACCCUGGGGCCAUUCCAUCUUUAGCAUCUCAACAAUGCACUGAUUUCAUACUUGAUAUGAUUGAUUACGUAAAUCACUUCCAUAUGCUUAUGCAUAUACCAGUGUGAACAACAUAAAUAGAUGACAUGAUGUUUUCGGUGGAUGAGUGUUCUACAUCAAUGAGUCCAUACAUUGUUUUCAAAAGUAUGAGUACAAUGUAGUAUGUGUUUAGUGCUGCUGUGUAG
This 516-nucleotide unclassified non-coding RNA is filed under the name Hevea brasiliensis (rubber tree). The record is from RNAcentral. Lineage: Eukaryota; Viridiplantae; Streptophyta; Magnoliopsida; Malpighiales; Euphorbiaceae.